RNAcentral lists this long non-coding RNA (1079 nucleotides) under Cyanistes caeruleus (blue tit). RNAcentral's name for it is "lncRNA (ENSCCEG00000022232.1)". Lineage: Eukaryota; Metazoa; Chordata; Aves; Passeriformes; Paridae. The record is from RNAcentral.
UGCUAUUUUUGCCAGGUUUUAAGCUCUUUUGAGGCCAACUGGAACAGCUGAAAUGGAACAUUAAAAAACUGUUUUGAUGCUGGGGCACAGAUGGCUGUAGCCCAAUGUGUCAAAAUAAAUGUUUCAUUUUUGGUCUAAUGUGCAAAAAAUAGACCUUCUCAAUUACUCCAAUAAUCACAGGUGCAAUAAAUGACUCUCUAGCUAAGAAGAGCUAUUUCAGAUGGGCAUUCAGAGAAAUUCUAUGUAUUCUAUGUCCAACAAUAUGAAAAGGUAAAUUACCUUAGACCAUUGACUUACUGCCUUUGAAAGGGUGCUAACAGCCACAAUCAAGCCUGGAGCUUUAAUCUUCUAUUUGGCAACUGAAUUUCACAAACACAUGAUUGCUCCUUAUGACAGAGACAGUUUGAGAAGAUGCUGCAGACAACAGAUCUGUUAACUUUAAAUCAGUGGCAUAUGUAUGCUUGGGAAAUUCAGAACGGCUUGAACAGACUUCAGCACUUAAACACUUUGUCCGGACUUUAUUCUAAAGGCUUUGAUGAAUAAACAGGGGAGUCAAUCAAAUACAGGUAAAUUGUUUUCAGAGCCAGCAUCUGCCCGGACUUACACGUCACAACAAACCAGGUGCAUCCACCAGUCUCUGCAGCGCUAGGGAACAGCCAUCAAUCAGUGUCUUGACUGCUGUGUUUGUAGCUCAGAGAGCAGCGUCUCCCUGCUGGAAAGGGACAAGCCAUCAAGGCCAGAGCCACCACUGAGCUGGUAAAGAGCUCUGAGGAGAAACUUCAAAUAACCCCCAGAAAGCAGUGUGGGGGAAGAUACCAGCCAGGCAGGAGACAAAUGGCUUCAGCUGCCAAUACUCAGGCUUCUUGCUUACAACUACAGUGCAGGGCUUUGUUUGUGAGAUGGAGCCACGUGAGAGAGGGAAUGGUAACUGUUACGCUACAGCACAAUGGUCUUUAAUCAGAACAACCUUUCCAAUAUGUGGAUGUUUCAAAACAACAUAGAAAAUCAAGCAGAGCUACAUGAAAGAAAAGGCAUUUUCAGAAAGGAGGAAUAAAGAAGAAGACACUGAAUGUCUGGCA